AGGUGGCUAGUCUAAACAAAACAUUUGAUUUCGGCUCAAAAACUUGUGGUUAAACCCCACAGCCGCCUU
RNAcentral lists this transfer RNA (69 nucleotides) under Remora brachyptera (spearfish remora). RNAcentral describes it as "tRNA-Arg". It matches the Rfam family "tRNA". Rfam says of the family: Transfer RNA (tRNA) molecules are approximately 80 nucleotides in length. Their secondary structure includes four short double-helical elements and three loops (D, anti-codon, and T loops). The record is from RNAcentral. Lineage: Eukaryota; Metazoa; Chordata; Actinopteri; Carangiformes; Echeneidae.